GGAUAGAUGACCGAGUGGUUUAAGGUGUAGUAUUGAAAUUGCUAUGUAGGCUUUUGUUUACCAAGGGUUCGAGUCCCUCUCUUUACG
RNAcentral lists this transfer RNA (87 nucleotides) under Datura stramonium (jimsonweed). RNAcentral describes it as "tRNA-Phe". It matches the Rfam family "tRNA". Rfam says of the family: Transfer RNA (tRNA) molecules are approximately 80 nucleotides in length. Their secondary structure includes four short double-helical elements and three loops (D, anti-codon, and T loops). Further hydrogen bonds mediate the characteristic L-shaped molecular structure. tRNAs have two regions of fundamental functional importance: the anti-codon, which is responsible for specific mRNA codon recognition, and the 3' end, to which the tRNAs corresponding amino acid is attached (by aminoacyl-tRNA synthetases). tRNAs cope with the degeneracy of the genetic code in two manners: having more than one tRNA (with a specific anti-codon) for a particular amino acid; and 'wobble' base-pairing, i.e. permitting non-standard base-pairing at the 3rd anti-codon position. The record is from RNAcentral. Lineage: Eukaryota; Viridiplantae; Streptophyta; Magnoliopsida; Solanales; Solanaceae.